This 460-nucleotide ribosomal RNA is filed under the name uncultured bacterium. RNAcentral's name for it is "partial 16S ribosomal RNA". It matches the Rfam family "Bacterial small subunit ribosomal RNA", at positions 338 to 795 of the family's 1533-position model. The record is from RNAcentral.
CCUACGGGAGGCAGCAGUGAGGAAUAUUGGUCAAUGGACGGAAGUCUGAACCAGCCAAGCCGCGUGAAGGAAGACGGCUCUAUGAGUUGUAAACUUCUUUUGUACGGGGGUAAACGCAGAUACGCGUAUCUGUCUGAAUGUAUCGUAAGAAUAAGGAUCGGCUAACUCCGUGCCAGCAGCCGCGGUAAUACGGAGGAUUCAAGCGUUAUCCGGAUUUAUUGGGUUUAAAGGGUGCGUAGGCGGUCGGUUAAGUUAGUGGUGAAAUCCCGAGGCUCAACUUCGGAAUCGCCUUUGAUACUGGUCGGCUAGAGAUGAGUGGAGGUAGGCGGAAUGUGUGGUGUAGCGGUGAAAUGCUUAGAGAUCAUACAGAACUCCGAUUGCGAAGGCAGCUUACCAGCCUCACUCUGACGCUGAGGCACGAAAGCGUGGGUAGCAAACAGGAUUAGAGACCCUGGUAGUC